Molecule: transfer RNA, 66 nt
Filed under: Marukawichthys ambulator
Lineage: Eukaryota; Metazoa; Chordata; Actinopteri; Perciformes; Ereuniidae
Description: tRNA-Cys
Source: RNAcentral
AGCCCCAAGGUGUUCAACAUAUAAGAUUGCAAAUCUUAAGAGGCAGGCUAACGUCUGCUGGGGCUU